Molecule: unclassified non-coding RNA, 210 nt
Filed under: Hevea brasiliensis (rubber tree)
Lineage: Eukaryota; Viridiplantae; Streptophyta; Magnoliopsida; Malpighiales; Euphorbiaceae
Source: RNAcentral
GGAGAGGCCCGGUGAGUAUAACUUCGGCGGUUAUGAAGAGCUUCUGGCUAUGGCGGCGAAAUUCGGGCUGAAAGUUCAGGCCGUCAUGUCGUUCCAUCAAUGCGGAGGGAACGUCGGCGAUUCCUGCAUAAUUCCAUUACCGAAAUGGGUGGUGAAGGAGAUGCAGAAAGAUCCGGACCUUGCCUACACCGAUCAAUGGGGAAGAAGGAA